This 127-nucleotide small RNA is filed under the name Marmota monax (woodchuck). Lineage: Eukaryota; Metazoa; Chordata; Mammalia; Rodentia; Sciuridae. The record is from RNAcentral.
GCCAGGAGUGGUGGUGCACGCCUAUAAUCCUAGCAGCUCAGGAGGCUGACACAGGAGGAUCGCUAGCUCAAAACCAGCCUCAGCAACGUAUCGAGGCUUUGAGCAACUCAGUGAGACCCUGUCUCUA